RNAcentral lists this ribosomal RNA (383 nucleotides) under uncultured eukaryote. Its description in RNAcentral is "partial 18S ribosomal RNA". It matches the Rfam family "Eukaryotic small subunit ribosomal RNA", at positions 592 to 976 of the family's 1831-position model. The record is from RNAcentral.
CAAUAGCGUAUAUUAAAGUUGUUGCAGUUAAAAAGCUCGUAGUUGGAUUUCUGGUGGGAGCGAUCGGUCUGGCGCUUAGCGCGAGUACUUGCAUCGUCUCCGGCCAUCCUUGGGGAGAGUCUGUCUGGCAUGAGGUUGUCGGGCAGAGGAUCCUCAUCGUUUACUGUGAAAAAAUUAGAGUGUUCAAAGCAGGCUUAUGCCGUUGAAUAUAUUAGCAUGGAAUAAUAAGAUAGGACUUUGGUACUAUUUUGUUGGUUUGCGCACCAAAGUAAUGAUUAAUAGGGACAGUUGGGGGUAUUCGUAUUCCGUUGUCAGAGGUGAAAUUCUUGGAUUUACGGAAGACGAACUACUGCGAAAGCAUUUACCAAGGAUGUUUUCAUUAA